RNAcentral lists this ribosomal RNA (497 nucleotides) under uncultured bacterium. RNAcentral's name for it is "partial 16S ribosomal RNA". It matches the Rfam family "Bacterial small subunit ribosomal RNA", at positions 28 to 507 of the family's 1533-position model. The record is from RNAcentral.
GAUGAACGCUGGCGGCGUGCCUAAUACAUGCAAGUCGAGCGAACAGACGAGGAGCUUGCUCCUCUGACGUUAGCGGCGGACGGGUGAGUAACACGUGGAUAACCUACCUAUAAGACUGGGAUAACUUCGGGAAACCGGAGCUAAUACCGGAUAAUAUAUUGAACCGCAUGGUUCAAUAGUGAAAGACGGUUUUGCUGUCACUUAUAGAUGGAUCCGUGCCGCAUUAGCUAGUUGGUAAGGUAACGGCUUACCAAGGCGACGAUGCGUAGCCGACCUGAGAGGAUGAUCGGCCACACUGGAACUGAGACACGGUCCAGACUCCUACGGGAGGCAGCAGUAGGGAAUCUUCCGCAAUGGGCGAAAGCCUGACGUAGCAACGCCGCGUGAGUGAUGAAGGUCUUCGGAUCGUAAAACUCUGUUAUUAGGGAAGAACAAAUGUGUAAGUAACUAUGCACGUCUUGACGGUACCUAAUCAGAAAGCCACGGCUAACUACGUG